Colius striatus (speckled mousebird) is the source of this 2478-nucleotide long non-coding RNA. RefSeq lists it as uncharacterized. The transcript is spliced from 4 exons. The record is from RefSeq and is a predicted model, not a curated record. NCBI's taxonomy places the organism in Eukaryota, Metazoa, Chordata, Aves, Coliiformes, Coliidae.
CUGCCAGGGAACAGAGAACCACUGCUAAGGUGCGAUAUUCUGACAACACCUGAUGAGUCCAAGAGACAUGGAGACAUUUUGCCUGAAGUUGCCAGCCCAAGGGAGGGAUGAGACCAUGCUGUCUGGAAGAGCUAAACACGUCUGCACUUCAUGGGGAGCCUAAUGAAGGACUCUCCAUCUACCUGCCAUCACAGCAAGUGCCACAUCAGGCAAAAUUUGCAGCUACCAGCUACAGCUCCACAUCCAACCUCCAUCCCACAAACCCAAGGAGAAAACUAUCCUUGCUCCAUAAUGGGCAGAAGCACCCAGAUCUCAGUAAUCUGUCUUCUGCCUCCUGCAAGCUUUGAAGAUACAAGAUGCAGAGGAGGAUCCCUCCACAGUUCAGAUAAGUUUUUCUGUGAUUGCGGAUCCUUCAACAAUCCUGCCAUCAGGACACGUGAAAUGCUUUACAGGGCCUGCCCAACCCUCCUCCCAGCCCAGCAUCUCCAACCAUGGCAGCAGGACAUCCCAUCCUGGUGUGACAGAUGCAGUCCUCCUAUCUGAGCUGAACUCUGGACCAGGCAGGUGCACAGCACGUAAGCCUAACUGAAGGUAAUCCUACUGUGUGAGGCUAUCAGUGAGAACUCAGCAUCAAAACCCAAACCCACCUUGUUUGGCUGGAGACUGGGCUGAUAAGCAUCCAACUGUAUAAACACAGUACAAAAAACUGUAUAAACACAAUAGGAAACCUAUCUACAAAUUAACUACUUGGCGCUGUAAGUAUCUAGAGGCAUUAAGGCCCAUGGACCUCUCCCUCCUAGCAGCUGGCUGAGCAGCAGGCAUCUCCCCAGGAAUAGGGCCACCUCUCAAGGCUGAGAGAUCCCUUACCUGACAGCAAACUUCUACAGGUUGCAGGCCUGCUGUCAUCAGAAAAAGAGUGAAGAGCCUGAAGGAUACAUACAUGAAGAGCUCCACCAGCAGUCUGCCAGUGAAUCACACUCUGGGAUCUAACCAAAGCCAUCUCAAUUGUACACAGGCUCUGUUCACACAUUACAACCAAUUACAUAAAAACAUUAAGAGGUAAAACCAUUAGCAUUGGUCAAACCAACCAAGCCUCAAGCACUGAGGAGAAGCAUACCCUGCUCUCCACCUGAGAGCUGCCAGGCAUCCUGGGUUCAAUUCUAUUGAUUUUAUCUGCAGUCUGGAUUUUGUAAGACUACCUUCAUAAGCCUAGCCUGCCACAAACAUAAACCAGACUACCCAUAUAUCUCUAUGCUGCAGUUCAUCCAUUUUCAACAGCUCAAAUAAUGUGGGUGGAAAAUAUUCCUUCUGUGCUCAACAGCUGACCAGAGAACCACCUACAGCUAGAACAGACACAGCUGCUGUGGGCAGAGCCGCAACCCAACUUGUGAGUUGAAGCUUUGUAUAAUACGGACUUUGGCUACCAGAAUAAGUGAAAACACAAUUGAAAAAAACAUUUAAUCACAAUGAUAAGGCUCUAACCCAUUUUUCCAAGAGGCCUUUGGCUACUUUACCAUUUGUCUAGGCUUUUCUCCCUGUUUCAGGGCUAGACAGGCUCUACCUCCUCACCUCUCCCCAUGUCAUGACAUGGAUGACUACUGAAGUUCCUUGGUCAACUUCCCAGAAGUUUACAUCACUUGACAAAGUGCCCAUGAGAAACAGCUUUGGUCAGAAAAUGGAAAAUGGGAAGCCACUGGACCAAGGACUAAGACUGGUAAAGGGAUCUGCUGUCACUUGCUGCUUCCCAAGGGUCAAGGUUCCUUCUCCUGCUUGUCCCAAUGGACAUGGCAACCCUUUUGUUCACAGAUAUAUUGAGAGUCUAACAAGCUGACAUUUUCCACUUCAUCUUUCUUAAGAAUAGAUUUCAGUAACAAUUCUUCUUAAACAUUUUGUAUAAUUAGCAGCUCAUGUUAUCUCUGUAUUAUACAUGGAAAAAUGAUGAUGGAAACAAGACAAAGGGACUUUUUCUCACCUAUGAUGCCAGUGCUCCAGUCACACUGCCCUUCUGUAAAGCAAAUGCUGAUCCCAGCCAUCCUACGGCCAUGCAAGCUUCUCUCUACAGCUCUCAGGAGCUCCCUAAAAUUACUCUAGAGAAAUGUCUCUAUUGCAAUCUAUAAAAACAAGACUUAGAAGAUAAACUACUCAUGCUUCCAGGAGCCUUACGGAAUUACUGACACAAGCUCUCACAAGCGCUGUGCUGAUGCUCUCUGGAAAUGGUUAAGCAACUGCCAUGAAUGAACACUUUAAACCUUUUGCUGACAUUCAAAAUUAAAGCAGCUCAGACAGGUAAAAGGCACAGAACUAAAAAAAUAAAUAAAUCUAUAUUAAGGAAAUCGGUGCAGGUAACAAACUGUGUGUACAGGAAACGAGGAUGGUUAAUUCUUCCACAAUUGUUACACAGGGAAAAUCAUCAUUUUUCUCACAUCACAACUCCAGAUUGUAAAUUUUAAGACGUGCUUUUGGGUUGGUUUGUUUUUU